GUGAACGCUGGCGGUAGGCCUAACACAUGCAGGUCGAACGACAGCACAGUAAGAGCUUGCUCUUACGGGUGGCGAGUGGCGGACGGGUGAGGAAUACAUCGGAAUCUACUUUUUCGUGGGGGAUAACGUAGGGAAACUUACGCUAAUACCGCAUACGACCUACGGGUGAAAGCAGGGGAUCUUCGGACCUUGCGCGAUUGAAUGAGCCGAUGUCGGAUUAGCUAGUUGGCGGGGUAAAGGCCCACCAAGGCGACGAUCCGUAGCUGGUCUGAGAGGAUGAUCAGCCACACUGGAACUGAGACACGGUCCAGACUCCUACGGGAGGCAGCAGUGGGAAAUAUUGGACAAUGGGCGCAAGCCUGAUCCAGCCAUACCGCGUGGGUGAAGAAGGCCUUCGGGUUGUAAAGCCCUUCUGUUGGGAAAGAAAAGCAGCAGGUUAAUACCCCGCUGUUCUGACGGUACCCAAAGAAUAAGCACCGGCUAACUUCGUG
RNAcentral lists this ribosomal RNA (491 nucleotides) under uncultured bacterium. RNAcentral's name for it is "partial 16S ribosomal RNA". It matches the Rfam family "Bacterial small subunit ribosomal RNA", at positions 29 to 507 of the family's 1533-position model. The record is from RNAcentral.